Molecule: long non-coding RNA, 932 nt
Filed under: Fukomys damarensis (Damara mole-rat)
Lineage: Eukaryota; Metazoa; Chordata; Mammalia; Rodentia; Bathyergidae
Description: lncRNA (ENSFDAG00000032517.1)
Source: RNAcentral
UCGCUGCAGAGGAAGCAGAGGCUGAAAGAGGUGGAGCACCUUGCCCAGGGCCACACAGCUUGCCAGAGGCAGGAUGCAGAUGAGGAGUGCUGACUGUGUGGGUGCAAGGCCUCCCUCCUCUCCCACGGGCUGAAUCUCUUGUGUUCCAUCCUGUGCUGUUCUUUUGUGAGCCUCAGUUUCCUCCUCUGAGCAGUGGGGAGGGUAGCAGAGUGGACCAGAGCUGGCGUCAGCAGGGCUGGAGCGGGUGCCGUUCGUUAAUUGGCCUGCACGCAAGUCCUCAUUCCAGCCAGUGGUGUGAGCCGGUUGCUAAGGGAGGAGGCUGAGGUUGAGAUGUGCAGCUGAUGGCAGCAAAGCCAGGGGUCCAGCCACUCCUUGGCCCUGGGGUCCUUCCCCUGCUGUACCUGCUGCCUGGUGCCACCUGCUCUAUAUGACCCCGAGGAUUGCCUGUGUUUAGCUGGACCUCUGUCCUACAUGACUGGCCUUGAGCCAGCCCUCGGGAAGCCAGGCUGGUGGCGCUCACGCAUCCAGCCUCCUGGGCCUGUCCCCUCCUUCAGGAGCUCUGCGUCCUUUACUGCGUGAGCUGCUCCCUUUCUGACUUGUUCCAGCCCUGCACGGUCGCCUCGUCCUGAAGGCAGAGCCUGGGAACACUCCAGAAGGUGCCAGCUGUCGGCACGGCUGGCUGUCUCAACGCCUCAUUCGGCCUCCACUCCCUGCUGCAAAUGGGAGGCACUGCCAGCUUGGCAGCAUGGGACGGUGCAGAGUCGGGCGGUGCUGGUGGGAGGCCGUGGUGAUCAGACUCGUGGGCUGGAGCCCGGACACGAGAGCGCCCAGGGAAGAUGCAGGCUGCGGGCUGACCUGUCGCUGACGUGGGCUCCCAGGCUGGACCUGCCCCGGCCCGGCAUGCGCCUCUCUGUGCGCAGGGCGCUGCUGGC